Molecule: ribosomal RNA, 520 nt
Filed under: uncultured Glomus
Lineage: Eukaryota; Fungi; Glomeromycota; Glomeromycetes; Glomerales; Glomeraceae
Description: SSU rRNA
Rfam family: Eukaryotic small subunit ribosomal RNA
Source: RNAcentral
AGCAGCCGCGGUAAUUCCAGCUCCAAUAGCGUAUAUUAAAGUUGUUGCAGUUAAAAAGCUCGUAGUUGAAUUUCGAGACCGGUUUAUUGGUCGUGCUUUUGUACGUACUGGUAUUAUUGGUUUCUCCUUUCUGACGAAUCUUAAUGCCAUUAAUUUGGUGUUUUUGGGGGAAUCAGGACUGUUACUUUGAAAAAAUUAGAGUGUUUAAAGCAGGCUCACGCUUGAAUACAUUAGCAUGGAAUAACGAAAUAGGACGUUUGAUUUUAUUUUGUUGGUUUCUAGGAUCGACGUAAUGAUUAAUAGGGAUAGUUGGGGGCAUUAGUAUUCAAUUGUCAGAGGUGAAAUUCUUGGAUUUAUUGAAGACUAACUACUGCGAAAGCAUUUGCCAAGGAUGUUUUCAUUAAUCAAGAACGAAAGUUAGGGGAUCGAAGACGAUCAGAUACCGUCGUAGUCUUAACCAUAAACUAUGCCGACUAGGGAUCGGAUGAUGUUAAUUUUUUCAAUGACUCAUUCGGCGCCU